This 969-nucleotide long non-coding RNA is filed under the name Gossypium raimondii (Peruvian cotton). Its description in RNAcentral is "long non-coding RNA (GRAI_LNC010078)". Lineage: Eukaryota; Viridiplantae; Streptophyta; Magnoliopsida; Malvales; Malvaceae. The record is from RNAcentral.
UUUACUUUGCAUACUUAGUCAUUCAUUCUAUUACUUUUUACUUCAAUUCCCUAUACAUGCCAUAUAAAUCCAAAAAGUUAUUUAACAAAAUCUACCGGAGUAUAUCUGGAUAGUGUGAUUCUCGAUGUAGAUCCGAUCCUCCGAAUGUAUAAAUACGUUAAUCUACAAAAACAAUAAACACACACAUGUAAGCUUAUAGAAAAGCUUAGUAAGUUCAUAGGCAUAAAACAUAAAUCUUACCAAACAUUUGUACACUUACACAAUAUACACCAUUACUAAGUUUACCUGUCAACCACAAUUUUUGGUGAAUUCCUUGGUAUAAACUCACUACUACUUAUUCUUUUACCAUAAUUCCUUUGGGCCUAUUUGUCACUUACCAUCCAUGAUCAAAAUUAAGGAACAGUUACGGAAAAUUGAGUACUUCACUUUCACUUUGCCAUAGUAUAACUAUGGUCUUACGUAUGAUCACUUAUCAUUUGUCCCUGAUCAGAUAAGUGUAGCUAAGCUACCACUUAUCACUUUGUCACUUGAUCAGAUAAGUAUAGCACUUAUCACUUUUUCACUUGAUCUGAUAAGUAUAACACUUAUCACUUUUUCACUUGAUCAGAUAAGUGUAGCUAAAGCUACCACUUAUCACUUUGUCUCUUGAUCAGAUAAGUGUAGCACUUAUCACUUUUUCACUUGAUCAGAUAAGUGUAGCUAAAGCUACCACUUAUCACUUUAUCACUUGAUUAGAAGUACUCAAAUUCGGCGUUCCGCUUAAUUUGAUCAUUUAUUCAAUUUUCGCAUUUUUAUUUUACUCUCUUUUCAACACUAAAUACAUUUCAUCAUACAUUAUAUAAUUCAUGAAAUUAACAUUUAAUCAUUAAAUUUCAGCCAUAUGAACUUACCUGGGUCGAUUUGCAGAAUUUGUAAAAGUUCAGGGACUAAUCAACUACUUUUUCUUUUCCUCGGCUUGGUUCGGGUUCU